CUAUAGCUCAGCUGGGAGAGCGCCUGCCUUGCACGCAGGAGGUCAGCGGUUCGAUCCCGCUUAGCUCCACCAC
This 73-nucleotide transfer RNA is filed under the name uncultured Gammaproteobacteria bacterium. RNAcentral's name for it is "tRNA-Ala". It matches the Rfam family "tRNA". From Rfam's summary of the family: Transfer RNA (tRNA) molecules are approximately 80 nucleotides in length. Their secondary structure includes four short double-helical elements and three loops (D, anti-codon, and T loops). The record is from RNAcentral. Lineage: Bacteria; Pseudomonadati; Pseudomonadota; Gammaproteobacteria.